AUCUAAUGAUGAGGGCAGCUUGUACAUAGUCUCUUGAAUCUCUCCCAAUAUUCAUAUAUACCUUUUCCAUGUAGUUGUCUGAUUCCAGAAAUAUCUUUUCUGAUU
This is a small nucleolar RNA of Lupinus angustifolius (narrow-leaved blue lupine), 105 nucleotides long. It matches the Rfam family "Plant small nucleolar RNA R71". Rfam says of the family: R71 is a member of the C/D box family of snoRNAs containing the C (UGAUGA) and D (CUGA) box motifs. Multiple nearly identical copies of this snoRNA have been identified in Arabidopsis, and it is thought to function as a 2'-O-ribose methylation guide for 18S ribosomal RNA. The record is from Rfam. Lineage: Eukaryota; Viridiplantae; Streptophyta; Magnoliopsida; Fabales; Fabaceae.